This 771-nucleotide ribosomal RNA is filed under the name uncultured Neocallimastigales. RNAcentral describes it as "partial large subunit ribosomal RNA". It matches the Rfam family "Eukaryotic large subunit ribosomal RNA", at positions 24 to 635 of the family's 3401-position model. Lineage: Eukaryota; Fungi; Neocallimastigomycota; Neocallimastigomycetes; Neocallimastigales. The record is from RNAcentral.
GUAGUCUCGCACAGAUGCAUAUCAAUAAGCGGAGGAAAAGAAACUAACAAGGAUUCCCUUAGUAACGGCGAGUGAAGCGGGAAGAGCUCAAAUUUGAAAUCUUCAAGGUUUUACCUUGACGAAUUGUAGUUUAAAGAAGUGUUUUCUGUUGAAGUUUUGGUAAAAGUUCUUUGGAAUAGGACAUCAUAGAGGGUGAGAAUCCCGUAUUUGACCAUUAUUUUCAGCUGUGUGAUACACUUUCAAAGAGUCGGAUUGUUUGGGAAUGCAGUCCAAAAUGGGUGGUAAAUUUCAUCUAAAGCUAAAUAUUGGCGAGAGACCGAUAGCGAACAAGUACCGUGAGGGAAAGAUGAAAAGAACUUUGAAAGGAGAGUUAAAUAGUACGUGAAAUUGUCAAAAGGGAAGCGUUUGACACCAGUGUUGUUUUCUGAAAAUCAACCUCUGUUAGCUUUAUGCAUGUUUGUUUAGACCUAAUCAGCUAUCUUGCAUGUUCUAUUGUUUGCAGUGGUGCACUUUUCAGUUUACAGGUCAACAUCAGUUUUUUUUACCGUAAAAAAGUUAAAGAAAGGUAGCUCAUGGCUCCGGUCGUGAGUGUUAUAGUCUUUUUCCUAUGCGGUAGGAGAGACUGAGGUCUGCAGUGUAGGCUAUUUGGCUAGAUACUCAGGUGCUAUGUGAUACCAUUUCAUAAACAACUUGUUGAUUAUGUUUUGUCUAUUGCAUACUCGCUUGUACUAUCAUACCUACGCUUAGGAUGUUGAAGAUGUAGCACAUCAU